AACGAACGCUGGCGGCAGGCCUAACACAUGCAAGUCGAGCGCCCCGCCAGGGGAGCGGCGGACGGGUGAGUAACGCGUGGGACCGUGCCCUUUGCUACGGAAUAGCCUCGGGAAACUGAGAGUAAUACCGUACGUGCCCUUCGGGGGAAAGAUUUAUCGGCAAAGGAUCGGCCCGCGUUGGAUUAGUUAGUUGGUGGGGUAAUGGCCUACCAAGCCGACGAUCCAUAACUGGUGCGAGAGGAUGAUCAGCCACACUGGGCCUGAGACACGGCCCAGACUCCUACGGGAGGCAUCAGUGGGGAAUCUUAGACAAUGGGCGCAAGCCUGAUCUAGCCAUGCCGCGUGAGCGAUGAAGGCCUUAGGGUUGUAAAGCUCUUUCAGUGGGGAAGAUAAUGACUGUACCCACAGAAGAAGCCCCGGCUAACUCCGUGCCAGCCGCCGCCGUAA
RNAcentral lists this ribosomal RNA (447 nucleotides) under uncultured bacterium. Its description in RNAcentral is "partial 16S ribosomal RNA". It matches the Rfam family "Bacterial small subunit ribosomal RNA", at positions 29 to 523 of the family's 1533-position model. The record is from RNAcentral.